Molecule: ribosomal RNA, 497 nt
Filed under: uncultured bacterium
Lineage: Bacteria
Description: partial 16S ribosomal RNA
Rfam family: Bacterial small subunit ribosomal RNA
Source: RNAcentral
GAUGAACGCUGGCGGCGUGCCUAAUACAUGCAAGUCGAGCGAACAGACGAGGAGCUUGCUCCUCUGACGUUAGCGGAGGGCGGGUGAGUAACACGUGGAUAACCUACCUAUCAGACUGGGAUAACUUCGGGAAACCGGAGCUAAUACCGGAUAAUAUAUUGAACCGCAUGGUUCAAUAGUGAAAGACGGUUUUGCUGUCACUUAUCGAUGGAUCCCGGCCGCAUUGGCUAGUUGGUAAGGUAAAGGCUUACCAAGGCAACGAUGCGUAGCCGACCGGAGAGGGUGAUCGGCCGCACUGGAACUGAGACACGGUCCAGACUCCUACGGGAGGCAGCAGUAGGGAAUCGUCCGCAAUGGGCGAAAGCCUUACGGAGCAACGCCGCGUGAGUGAUGAAGGUCUUCGGAUCGUAAAACUCUGUUAUUGGGUAAGAACAAAUGUGUAAGGAACUAUGCACGUCUUGACGGUACCUAAUCAGAAAGCCACGGCUAACUACGUG